This 345-nucleotide long non-coding RNA is filed under the name Elaeis guineensis (African oil palm). Its description in RNAcentral is "long non-coding RNA (EGUI_LNC066814)". The record is from RNAcentral. Lineage: Eukaryota; Viridiplantae; Streptophyta; Magnoliopsida; Arecales; Arecaceae.
UAUCGAGCAUAGGUCGCUGUAGGCCAUAUGGGUUGGUUGUCCUCUUAACCAAGGAGUGUGGAGACACUGGUAUGGCAUACAGGUAAGAUGUAAGGGUACAUCAUCAUUGAACGUGACCAACUCCAGAGCAUUCUGCUGUCGAGAAUAUCUCUGAUGGGAUAUAGGUAUAAGUGUCCCUUAGACCUGAGAUCGCCUCAGUGACUUGCAAGCAACUCACUGUGCUUUGGUACUGGACUAACUGAAUUUCUAAUUUAGGGAUGGAAGGCUUCUGGGCACAGUCAAGUACUUGCAAAGUCAGAGUGUGAUCGAGAUGGGAUUGACCACUCCAAGAGUUGGAGAAGAAUG